RNAcentral lists this ribosomal RNA (253 nucleotides) under uncultured bacterium. Its description in RNAcentral is "partial 16S ribosomal RNA". It matches the Rfam family "Bacterial small subunit ribosomal RNA", at positions 524 to 776 of the family's 1533-position model. The record is from RNAcentral.
GACGGAAGGUGCAAGCGUUGCUCGGAAUCACUGGGCGUAAAGGGUGCGUAGGCGGCUUGGUAAGUUGGGUGUGAAAGCCCCGGGCUCAGCCCGGGAAGGGCACUCGAAACUGCCGAGCUGGAGUGCCGGAGGGGAGAGUGGAAUUCCUGGUGUAGCGGUGAAAUGCGUAGAUAUCAGGAGGAACACCGGUGGCGAAGGCGGUUCUCUGGGCAUUACCUGACGCUGAGGAGCGAAAGUGUGGGGAGCGAACAGG